UGGAUGUUUGUCUGAGUGUUUCUGUGAGAGCGGCGCCGCAUUUGUCAGUCUGUGUCUGUCUGUUUUGGUUCCGCCGUGUGUGUAUAUGUGUGUGUCUCGGUACCGGUGAAGUCUCACUCUGGUCAGUACUUAGAGAGUGGACGUGGAGUCUCACUCUGGUCAGUAGUUAGAGAGUGGAAGUGGAAUCUCACUCUGGUCAGUGCUUAGAGAGUGGACGUGGAGUCUCACUCUGGUCAGUGCUUAGAGAGUGGAAGUAGAAUACGUGUUAGUGUCUGUUGUCUGUAUUCUGUUUCUGUGUUUGGUAUCCCAGAAGCAGCUAAGGUUAAGCUGCAGUUUGGGCCAGGUACUGAAGGUACCAGGCAUCUGUGAAAAUUGGUUAUAAGAUGCUUUGUCUUGAUAUUGUUUGUCUGGUUUGUUUUCUGUGAUAUUGUCGAGUGUCUUUUUGGCUUUUGUUUCGUUUUUAAAUUUAGACUGACGACUGUGUUUAAAAUCUUGGACUGACGACUGUGUUUAAAAUCUUGGACUGACGACUGUGUUUGAAAUCAUGAAACUGUUUGCUUUGUUCGUCAAAGAGUUUUACUUGGUCCUCUUGGUGCUUAAGUUAAGAGUUAAAAAUAAUUUGCUUGAGAAAAAUUGUUUUCUGCCAGGGAGUUUUGUCUUUCUCUCUUGAGCCUCCUCCCCAAGGAGAGAGGCCCCUCCCUUUACUCCCCUUGAUCAGCCUAGCUGCUGUUAACAGUUGUGUAAACAGACAUUAACAAAAACCUUGAGGACAAAACCUCUCGUAAAUAAAAAAGUUCCCCAGAUUAGGCCUCCGGUAUGAAACAAGUAUAGUGAGUAAGAAACUUAAUUUUAUGGACCCCGCUCUAGUGGUGGUGUGUUGGUUGAUAGCCAACGUUAAUUUUUUAAAACAUAGUGUUUUAUCUGUGCUUGUGCUCGCAACACACAGUAGGGGGGAGCGAAAUUAGCUGCGGAGCUGCUACAGCGAACAUGGGGACUUCUCAAGUCUCACCCAAUUUUUCUGGCUCUUCAGGAGCUGUUUAAAAGGAAAAGGCUUAAGGUAAAAAGAAACACUAUAGAGAGAUUUCUUAGUGAAUUACUACACCUUGGUUCGCCAUCUCUGGGAAUCUCACAGUGGACAGCUGAGAUAAGCUAGAAAAGGAUUUAAAUUUUGCUUGAGAGCAAGGAAUCUUAAAGACGGAGUUUCAGCCGGUUUGACACUUAGUGCGUAGCUGCCUAAAAGAUCAGAAAUGCUGUCAACAGGCUAUAAAAAAGGGACAGGCUGUGUUAAAAAUGCUACAUAAAGAAUAAUCUAAAAAGGCUGAGAGUGAGGUGGGAGAGGACUCUAAGAAAAACAAGAACAAGAAAGGAAUUUCUGCUUUUAGUGACCAGACCUUCAACUCUUGCUCACAGAAAGAGGGUGCUCAUUAAGAGAAGUUCUUUAAGGAGCCUGCCUUAUCUGCUGGCCCUAUUCCAAGAGAGGAGCCAGUCUCCAGCAUUAAAUUACUUUUCUCACUGGUCAUCAUUAGCAUGGAGAAUGCCUUUGAUCCUAUCCCCACAGCAGCCAGUUCCUGCCCCUGUGGUAGAAAUGUCCCAGGUUGGGGGGCAGAGAAGCCCCUAAAAUAGUUUCAAAGAAUCUACAACAAACUGUAAAGAACUUUGUUUUGUUUUGCCAGUUUGAAUUUAGAAUUCAGGCUUUGGCUGUGGCCGAGGUCAGGAUUAAUGUUUUCGUUUCCAUGGGCCCUUAGCCCACUGAGACAGUUUGGUAAAGGACUACUACUACAGUCCUGAUAUUCAGAGACAUGGAGAGAGCUAUAGUUUUUUUUAUUAAAGGUUGGUACUAUAGUAUUAACAAUCUCUUUAUUAGAUAUAAGAGACAAGAAGCCCCAGGUGAACUGGUUACAAUUCUUUUGUCAGCUGCUUAGUAUCUAACACUCAGGUUCUACCGUCUCUCCAUCCUUUUAUUAUUAGUUGUUACUGAAAGCCUAGUGCCAUUUAGAGGAUGGGUCUCUUGAGUGAUAAAGCCACUGAGCUGGCACUAAAGGAAGGUACUCCUUAAGGGAAAAUCUAAGUCCAGAGAGACAACCGGUAACAGAUAGACUGCCCCUCUGCUCACUUUUCUGUUUCACAGACACAAGGUCUUUUUGUCCCAAGAAAGCCUCCUGGCUUAGCUGUGUGACUAAAUGCUAUUUGCCCUCUUCAGUGGACCUCUAUUCUCAAGAUUCUCUUGUUUUCUCACCAUCCCAUUUGAGAUGCUUGUUAGUAACUGUUACAGGUCUUCUUUACCACCGAGGAAAGACAAAAUCCUACUAGAGGCCAGAAAAAGUGUUCCAGAGAUGGAUGGAAGGCCCUCACUUCUGCCUGCUCUUUUCAGACGCCUAAAGGUAGGGAGUGCCAGGUCUGCCGCCAGGCUCCAAGGGUGGGUCUCUGAGGGGCUAAAAAAUGCCCCACCAAUCUGGCUAAGAUAAAAAAAGGAUAUGAAGAAAAAGUUACAAAAAUUUAAAGGGUUAAGUUAAGUUGCUGAGAGUUAGUACAAGUUACAGAGAAAGAGGUAAAAAGAACAGAAAGCUAAAAAAAAAGAGACAAAAAGAAGAGGAAGUUAGAGAGAUAAAGAGAGAUAAAAGACGAGAGAGGAACAUAUACUGGCCACAGUAGUUAGGGAACCUAGGAAGAUAGUACCUGGCAACAGAAGAGAAUUCCUGACUAAAGAUCAGUGUGCCUAAUACGAAGAAAAAGGAUAUUGGGUCAGGGACUGCCCCAGAAAGAACAAGAGGGGACACUGGAGAGCCUCUUGGUGCUGGCUAUACACAGAGAUAGAAGGGAAGCCCGCCCAGUUGUUUUGUGGAUACAGGGACCCAAUGCUCUGUGCUCCUAUGCCCCCCUGUGGGCCAAUAUCCAAAGACCUUGAGUGCAAGGAGCUACUGACAACGAACAAUACUUAUGGACUGCCCGAAGAACAGUGGACCUUGGCGUGGGCCGGGUAACCCACUAGUUCAUAGUCAUCCCUGACUGCCCCCAUCCCUUGCUCAUGAGAAAAUUGCUCUCCAAAUUGGCUUGCGUGGGCUGAAAUGGCUGGAUGAGGCCAUGUGUAUACAUAUCUAUAGACUGUGUAUGUGGAGCUUAAGACCUGUCUCAGUACACCAGUAACUGAUGCUGGGAGUUGAAUGGCUUAGUGCUUUUCUGCCUGAAACACACCGUUCCUGCCAGCCGGGCACUAACAAUUAUCACCCAAUCCAGGACUUAAACUGUGAUAGAGUGGCUGAUAGAGUGUCCAAAGAUGGGACCACUGGUCAGCUGCCAUGGACUAGAUUCUCCACCGGUUGGGGACAAUCUGGUCACCUUGCUGCCCAAUCCGGACCUGGAGCCACCACAGCACGAGUGUCAAACACUGACAGAAGCACAUGGGUGGAGGAAAGACCUCUGCGACUGGCUGAUUGACCCCUGCUGAAAGCCGAGGACCUUGUCCACAGAUGGGAACAGUUCUCUUCAUGAAUGAAGGUCAGAGACAAGUGGGUGCUGCCAUGGUGGACAACACAAUGUCAUCUAGAAUGGCUGAACCUCUACCCCCCCAGCACAUCAGCGCCACAGAUGCCUUUGCCAUCUCUUGGAUGCCCGGAUGAAGCCAACAACUGUGAGUACUAUUCAUUGCCCAGGAAAACAGGAGGGAAGAGAUUCAGUGACAUGGGGCAGUGACAAAACAGAUAAAGUGGCUCGGGAAAUGGCUAUACAGGAGCCUAUCCUGGUUACAGGCCUGCAAGAGACAGCCACUGAGAACUAGGAUUAGACUAAGGGAUGGCCUCACUUAGAAAAGGCCCAAAUUGCUUAAAAGAUAAAGGACAAUGGCACACUUGAGGGGAAGCUAUACUCCCCAGAGAACAAAGAAAAGACUCACUUUGCCAAAUAAAAAAAUAGACUCAUUUAAGAGAUAAGAAGUUUGUCCAAAUAGUUAAAAUAUAUAUAAUAGACUUUAAGAUUUUAGCCAAGAGAGACAAUAAAAAAGUAUAAAUUACGUCAAUAAAUAAGUGCUUAACAAACAAACAGGACAAAGAGACCUAGAGAGUUUAACGAAAAGUCGAAGUAAACUUCACUGAGAUAAAACCAGAAAAAUAUAAUCUCCUAGUGCUUGUAGAUACUUUUUCAGAAAUAGACAGAAGCUUUCCUCACCAAACGAGAGACGGCCUCUGCAAUCAUCAAGAAGAUACUGAAAGAAAUCUUCCCCAGGUCUGGAAUGCCCAAGGUAAUCUGGUCAGACAACGGUCCUACUUUCGUUGCCAAGGUAAGCCAGGGUGUGGCCAAAUAUUUAGAGGUCGAUUGGAAAUUACAUUAUAUUUACAGACCUCAAAGUUCAAGACAGGUAGAGUAAAUAAACAGAACUCUAAAAGAGACCCUAAACAAAUUGACCAUGGAGACUGGCACAGACUGGGUGACACUCCUUCCCUCUUGCUCUCUUCAGAGCAAGAAAUACCCCUUCCAGAUUCAGCCUUACCCCCUUUGAGAUCUUAUAUGGGGCCUCAGCUCCCCUGACUGUAUUAGAUGAUGUUACUGAACCAACAUGUCAUAGUAAUAAUGAUUUGUGUGCCAGGCUAAAAGACCUACAGGUGAUACAGAAAGAAAUCUGCUCACAGCUGACAGCAGCCUAUGCCCCGGAGACCCCUGAGACAUCCCAUCAGUUCCAGGUCGGAAGCAGCUACACUGAGCCCAGACACUCGAUCCUCGCUGGAAAGGACCAUACCUGGUGCUGCUGACCACCCUGACAGCCGUCAAUUCUCAGCCCUCACCAGCCGUGUACUAGCUGUUAGGGCUGAGAGCUGGGACCUAGAGAGAAAUUCAGUCAUGUUUGUCCUGGGUUCCAUCGAGAUAGGUGUGGGGAUAGGCUUGAUUUCUAUUACAAAUAAUGUAACAUUACAUAUGUUAGUACUCCUAACACUUCUUGGGACUGUGCCUCAGGGAUCACUACCUGUAUAAGUUUAAAAGUUCUAAAAGACAGUAAUGACCUUGGUGUAUAGGUUUAGAUAGUGUCCAGAUAGAAUCCUGAUGCCAAAGACUUUUUAGCUGACCUCCAAGAAUACCUAACCUCCCUCUCAGAGGUAGUCCUUCAAAAUAAGAAAAGAUUAGACCUGAUAUUCCUUAAAGAAGGAGUCUGUGUGCUAUACUGAAAGAAAAAUGUUGCUUCUAUACAGACCAUUCAGGAAUAAUUAAAGACUCCAUAAAUAAACUUAAAAAAAGGUUAGACAAAAGACAGACAGGAAAACACAUCAGAGAUGGUUCGAGAGCUAGUUUAGUAGAUCUCCCUGGAUGACUACCCUACACUCUGCUACAGCUGGGCCAUUAUUAAUAAUUUUCUUGGUUUUAGUUUUUGGCUCCUGCGUGACAAACAGGUUAAUUGCUUUUGUUAAAAAUUGAGUGGGUGCUGUGCGGUUGAUGGUUGUGAGACAACAGUACCAGUCAGUUAGGACAACUGGUGAGACCAAAUAAGACUUGAUAUCAAAAUUCUAAGAUUAGAAUUAUUUAAUAGGAGAAGACGGGAAUGAAAAGAAAAUUAUACGAAUUCUAGGUUUAUAAAUAUAAAAAUUAAAAAAAUAAACCCCAAAAGGCCACAGAUCCAGGGCUAAGCCCUGCAGCCAAGACUAGCAGGCCAUAAAGAUAAAGAAGCACAGGAAACACUGUUCAGGCAGGACUGACAAGCCAUAAAGAAAAGGAAUGCAGGAACCAGCCUGAGUUAAUGGGACUGAUUCAUGGGACGUCUGGCAGGAAGACAUCUCCCCCCAGCUCACUCAGGGCCAUCCUCCAGACCCUGAUAAGCCCCUGACUUCUAACACGUACUCUUUCUGCUUUGUUCUCACUGCUAUGUUUGAAUGAGCCAAUUGUAUGUAACCACGCCAAAACCCCCUAGCCUUCUCUAUAUAACCCUCUGACUUUUGAGUUUCGGGGCCAACACCUCUGUCUCCUGCGUGGGAUACGUGUCGGCCCGGAGAUCUCUGUAAUAGGUCUCCGUAAUAAACCUCGCCUUUGCUUAUUACAUCCAAAAUGGUCUCUCUGUGUCUGGGGUCCGCGAUUUCCCAAGACUUGAGUAAGGGUCUCUCUGCGUGGGAUCUUUCAUAAUAAUGGGGGCUCGUCCGGGAUCUGCGCGACUACCCCAGACUCCGAAGACCCCUUGGAGGCUAAAAGACCUACAGGUGAUACAGAAAGAAAUCUGCUCACAGCUGACAGCAGCCUAUGCCCCGGAGACCCCUGAGACAUCCCAUCAGUUCCAGGUCGGAAGCAGCUACACUGAGCCCAGACACUCGAUCCUCGCUGGAAAGGACCAUACCUGGUGCUGCUGACCACCCUGACAGCCGUCAAUUCUCAGCCCUCACCAGCCGUGUACUAGCUGUUAGGGCUGAGAGCUGGGACCUAGAGAGAAAUUCAGUCAUGUUUGUCCUGGGUUCCAUCGAGAUAGGUGUGGGGAUAGGCUUGAUUUCUAUUACAAAUAAUGUAACAUUACAUAUGUUAGUACUCCUAACACUUCUUGGGACUGUGCCUCAGGGAUCACUACCUGUAUAAGUUUAAAAGUUCUAAAAGACAGUAAUGACCUUGGUGUAUAGGUUUAGAUAGUGUCCAGAUAGAAUCCUGAUGCCAAAGACUUUUUAGCUGACCUCCAAGAAUACCUAACCUCCCUCUCAGAGGUAGUCCUUCAAAAUAAGAAAAGAUUAGACCUGAUAUUCCUUAAAGAAGGAGUCUGUGUGCUAUACUGAAAGAAAAAUGUUGCUUCUAUACAGACCAUUCAGGAAUAAUUAAAGACUCCAUAAAUAAACUUAAAAAAAGGUUAGACAAAAGACAGACAGGAAAACACAUCAGAGAUGGUUCGAGAGCUAGUUUAGUAGAUCUCCCUGGAUGACUACCCUACACUCUGCUACAGCUGGGCCAUUAUUAAUAAUUUUCUUGGUUUUAGUUUUUGGCUCCUGCGUGACAAACAGGUUAAUUGCUUUUGUUAAAAAUUGAGUGGGUGCUGUGCGGUUGAUGGUUGUGAGACAACAGUACCAGUCAGUUAGGACAACUGGUGAGACCAAAUAAGACUUGAUAUCAAAAUUCUAAGAUUAGAAUUAUUUAAUAGGAGAAGACGGGAAUGAAAAGAAAAUUAUACGAAUUCUAGGUUUAUAAAUAUAAAAAUUAAAAAAAUAAACCCCAAAAGGCCACAGAUCCAGGGCUAAGCCCUGCAGCCAAGACUAGCAGGCCAUAAAGAUAAAGAAGCACAGGAAACACUGUUCAGGCAGGACUGACAAGCCAUAAAGAAAAGGAAUGCAGGAACCAGCCUGAGUUAAUGGGACUGAUUCAUGGGACGUCUGGCAGGAAGACAUCUCCCCCCAGCUCACUCAGGGCCAUCCUCCAGACCCUGAUAAGCCCCUGACUUCUAACACGUACUCUUUCUGCUUUGUUCUCACUGCUAUGUUUGAAUGAGCCAAUUGUAUGUAACCACGCCAAAACCCCCUAGCCUUCUCUAUAUAACCCUCUGACUUUUGAGUUUCGGGGCCAACACCUCUGUCUCCUGCGUGGGAUACGUGUCGGCCCGGAGAUCUCUGUAAUAGGUCUCCGUAAUAAACCUCGCCUUUGCUUAUUACAUCCAAAAUGG
This is a non-coding RNA of Rattus norvegicus (Norway rat), 7606 nucleotides long. NCBI's taxonomy places the organism in Eukaryota, Metazoa, Chordata, Mammalia, Rodentia, Muridae. The record is from RefSeq and is a predicted model, not a curated record.